CAUGUUCCUGGCGUGGUGCUGGAGUCGGAAGGAUGUGAAGAUGAAUAAGACAUAUCCUCAGAAUGCAGCUAUAGUUCCCUGUUUGCUGAUAGAUGCCAUCUUUAACUUCUCUAAAAUAUCAGCACAGGAGAUUAAAAACAGUGGUUUCAGCUCUUCACGGCCCUCGGUGAAGUUGCUGAGCAGGGUGUUCCUAACCAGGUUGUCGUCACGCUCACCUCCUGAAUCAUCCGGAUGCCAUCCUCUGAACAGUCCUCUCCUCUGAUAGGAAAACCUCAGAUGUGCGUAUUAAAAACAAGCCAAGUGCUGAAAUGAA
This is a long non-coding RNA of Callorhinus ursinus (northern fur seal), 313 nucleotides long. RefSeq lists it as uncharacterized. NCBI's taxonomy places the organism in Eukaryota, Metazoa, Chordata, Mammalia, Carnivora, Otariidae. The record is from RefSeq and is a predicted model, not a curated record.